GACGAACGCUGGCGGCGUGCCUAAUACAUGCAAGUAGAACGCACAGUUUAUACCGUAGCUUGCUACACCAUAGACUGUGAGUUGCGAACGGGUGAGUAACGCGUAGGUAACCUGCCUGGUAGCGGGGGAUAACUAUUGGAAACGAUAGCUAAUACCGCAUAAUAUUAAUUAUUGCAUGAUAAUUAAUUGAAAGGUGCAAUUGCGCCACUACCAGAUGGACCUGCGUUGUAUUAGCUAGUAGGUGAGGUAACGGCUCACCUAGGCGACGAUACAUAGCCGACCUGAGAGGGUGAUCGGCCACACUGGGACUGAGACACGGCCCAGACUCCUACGGGAGGCAGCAGUAGGGAAUCUUCGGCAAUAGACGAAAGUCUGACCGAGCAACGCCGCGUGAGUGAAGAAGGUUUUCGGAUCGUAAAGCUCUGUUGUAAGAGAAGAACGGGUGUGAGAGUGGAAAGUUCACACUGUGACGGUAUCUUACCAGAAAGGGACGGCUAACUACGUG
This 505-nucleotide ribosomal RNA is filed under the name uncultured bacterium. RNAcentral describes it as "partial 16S ribosomal RNA". It matches the Rfam family "Bacterial small subunit ribosomal RNA", at positions 28 to 507 of the family's 1533-position model. The record is from RNAcentral.